RNAcentral lists this transfer RNA (83 nucleotides) under Rhodonia placenta. RNAcentral's name for it is "Postia placenta tRNA". It matches the Rfam family "tRNA". From Rfam's summary of the family: Transfer RNA (tRNA) molecules are approximately 80 nucleotides in length. Lineage: Eukaryota; Fungi; Basidiomycota; Agaricomycetes; Polyporales; Adustoporiaceae. RNAcentral also lists the same sequence under 3 other names. The record is from Rfam by way of RNAcentral.
GGGCAGGUGAUCCGAUUGGUAAUGGUGGUUCUCUGUAAAAGAAUUGGUGUAAACUGUAAAAGGUUCGAUUCCUUUACUGCUCA